ACACAUCAAGGAUAAUUUCUCC
This 22-nucleotide microRNA is filed under the name Callithrix jacchus (white-tufted-ear marmoset). Its description in RNAcentral is "cja-miR-3576". Lineage: Eukaryota; Metazoa; Chordata; Mammalia; Primates; Cebidae. The record is from miRBase by way of RNAcentral.